CGGCCGCGUCGACGGCUCUAACCGUUAAAAUUUGUCAGUUGAUACUGGCGUUCUUGAGUGCAGUUGAGGUGUGCGGAAUUCGUGGUGUAGCGGUGAAAUGCUUAGAUAUCACGAAGAACUCCGAUUGCGAAGGCAGCUCACUAAACUGUAACUGACGUUCAUGCUCGAAAGUGUGGGUAUCAAACAGGAUUAGAUACCCUGGUAGUCCACACGGUAAACGAUGGAUACUCGCUGUUGGCGAUAUACUGUCAGCGGCCAAGCGAAAGCGUUAAGUAUCCCACCUGGGGAGUACGCCGGCAACGGUGAAACUCAAAGGAAUUGACGGGGCCCGCACAAGCGGAGGAACAUGUGGUUUAAUUCGAUGAUACGCGAGGAACCUUACCGGGCUUAAAUUGCAGAGGAAUAAUCUAGGAAACAGAUUAGUCUUCGGACUUCUGUAGAAGGUGCUGCAUGGUUGUCGUCAGCUCGUGCCGUGAGGUGUCGGCUUAAGUGCCAUAACGAGCGCUAACCGUUGUGGUCAGUUACUAACAGGUAAUCG
This 538-nucleotide ribosomal RNA is filed under the name uncultured bacterium. Its description in RNAcentral is "bacterial SSU rRNA". It matches the Rfam family "Bacterial small subunit ribosomal RNA", at positions 593 to 1132 of the family's 1533-position model. The record is from RNAcentral.